This is a long non-coding RNA of Phyllopteryx taeniolatus (common seadragon), 821 nucleotides long. RefSeq lists it as uncharacterized. NCBI's taxonomy places the organism in Eukaryota, Metazoa, Chordata, Actinopteri, Syngnathiformes, Syngnathidae. The record is from RefSeq and is a predicted model, not a curated record. The transcript is spliced from 3 exons.
CCUCCUGUUUGCGGGCUCAUCCUUCGACUCCGGACCGCCGCAGGCGCGGUUGCUGUUGGUGGGUCGAUAGUUGAGAAGGGGAGCCUUCUCAGACAUUCCAACGCUUACGUGUCCCCCUAAUGACUACAACAAAACACAAUCAACACCCCCUCGCCUGCACACCUGUUCCCAAUCAGCACUCAUCACUGGUUGGGCACCUGUACCCGAUCAGCACUCAUCACUGCCUGCAUUUAAGCCUGCCAGAUCCAGGAAAUCAGCACCAGAGUAUUGACGUUCAUCCGUGGUACACAGGCCAAUUUUAUUAUGCUACAUGGAGCUCUGUGCAGGGUAGCUGAACUGGCGUGGGCAGGAUGGUGGAACUGUUGCAGUUGUUCUGCCAGGAUGGAGUUAUGGAAGUGGAGAGACGAAUUAGCAUGUGACUGAAUACAGUGGAGCAUCCAUAUUUGAACCCUGUAUUUCGUAGGUUGACAGUCAGGCAGGUCGUACAGGGAUAUUUCCGGUUGGGCAUUCAUAAAAAGUUACUUAGAGUUACUCAGUUAUAAUUACUUGGACCAUUUCUACCACUACUGCAUGUAAUUAGCUAGCUAGCUUUGCUUACACCUGAAUAGUCCCUAGAUGCCACAAUUUACAGAACAGCUUCAGUGUUGGCAUUUAAAUACCCGUGUUUUGUAUUUUGUGUUAUUCCGGCUACCGUAAUCUGUGCGAACGCAAAGCAUUGUGGGUAUAUAACCAACAGGAAGUGUGUGCAAAUGUCUGUCAUGUAGCGCAAGCCACAUGCUGAUUAACGUGUGUCCCUGUGUUUAAUAAACAGUUGACUUUCA